RNAcentral lists this ribosomal RNA (574 nucleotides) under Clarireedia homoeocarpa. RNAcentral's name for it is "SSU rRNA". It matches the Rfam family "Eukaryotic small subunit ribosomal RNA", at positions 569 to 1148 of the family's 1831-position model. Lineage: Eukaryota; Fungi; Ascomycota; Leotiomycetes; Helotiales; Rutstroemiaceae. The record is from RNAcentral.
AGCAGCCGCGGUAAUUCCAGCUCCAAUAGCGUAUAUUAAAGUUGUUGCAGUUAAAAAGCUCGUAGUUGAACCUUUGGCCUGGCUGGCAGGUCCGCCUCACCGCGUGCACUUGUCCGGCCGGGCCUUUUCUUCUGGAGAACCGCAUGCCCUUCACUGGGUGUGUUGGGGACCAGGACUUUUACUUUGAAAAAAUUAGAGUGUUCAAAGCAGGCCUUUGCUCGAAUACGUUAGCAUGGAAUAAUAGAAUAGGACGUGCGGUCCUAUUUUGUUGGUUUCUAGGACCGCCGUAAUGAUUAAUAGGGACAGUCGGGGGCAUCAGUAUUCAAUUGUCAGAGGUGAAAUUCUUGGAUUUAUUGAAGACUAACUACUGCGAAAGCAUUUGCCAAGGAUGUUUUCAUUAAUCAGUGAACGAAAGUUAGGGGAUCGAAGACGAUCAGAUACCGUCGUAGUCUUAACCAUAAACUAUGCCGACUAGGGAUCGGGCGGUGUUUCUAUUGUGACCCGCUCGGCACCUUACGAGAAAUCAAAGUGUUUGGGUUCUGGGGGGAGUAUGGUCGCAAGGCUGAAACUUAAA